Molecule: ribosomal RNA, 460 nt
Filed under: uncultured bacterium
Lineage: Bacteria
Description: partial 16S ribosomal RNA
Rfam family: Bacterial small subunit ribosomal RNA
Source: RNAcentral
CCUACGGGAGGCAGCAGUGAGGAAUAUUGGUCAAUGGGCGGAAGCCUGAACCAGCCAAGUAGCGUGCAGGAUGACGGCCCUACGGGUUGUAAACUGCUUUUAUACGGGAAUAACGCGCCUUACGUGUAGGGCUUGGCAUGGACCGUAUGAAUAAGGACCGGCUAAUUCCGGGCCAGCAGCCGCGGUAAGACGGAAGGUCCGGGCGUUAUCCGGAUGUAGUGGGGGUAAAGGGAGCGUAGGCCGCAUGUCAAGCGUGCUGUGGCCUGUUCGGGCUCAACCCGGGCCUUGCAGCGCGAACUGGCGUGCUUGAGUCCGCGGAAAGCAGGCGGAAUUCGUCGUGUAGCGGUGAAAUGCUUAGAUAUGACGAAGAACCCCGAUUGCGAAGGCAGCUUGCUGCAGCGGAACUGACGCUGAUGCUCGAAAGCGCGGGUAUCGAACAGGAUUAGAUACCCGAGUAGUC